This 253-nucleotide ribosomal RNA is filed under the name uncultured bacterium. RNAcentral's name for it is "partial 16S ribosomal RNA". It matches the Rfam family "Bacterial small subunit ribosomal RNA", at positions 524 to 776 of the family's 1533-position model. The record is from RNAcentral.
UACAGGGGGUGCAAACGUUGCUCGGAAUUAUUGGGCGUAAAGCGCGUGUAGGCGGCUUUGCAAGUCGGGUGUGAAAGCCCUCGGCUCAACCGAGGAAGUGCGCCCGAAACUGCAGAGCUUGAGUACCGGAGAGGAUGGUGGAAUUCCCCAAGUAGAGGUGAAAUUCGUAGAUAUGGGGAGGAACACCGGUGGCGAAGGCGACCAUCUGGACGGAUACUGACGCUGAGAAGCGAAAGCAUGGGGAGCGAACAGG